CCAGACUCCUACGGGAGGCAGCAGUGAGGAAUAUUGGUCAAUGGGCGGAAGCCUGAACCAGCCAAGUCGCGUGAGGGAAGAAGGCCCUGCGGGUCGCAGACCUCUUUGGACGGGGAGCAAGGCCGCCGACGUGUCGGCGGAAGGAGAGUACCCGUAGAACAAGCAUCGGCUAACUCCGUGCCAGCAGCCGCGGUAAUACGGAGGAUGCGAGCGUUAUCCGGAUUUAUUGGGUUUAAAGGGUGCGCAGGCGGAUUUUUAAGUCAGCGGUCAAAUCGUGGGGCUCAACCCCAUCCAGCCGUUGAAACUGGGGAUCUAGAGUGUGCGAGAGGUAUGCGGAAUGCGUGGUGUAGCGGUGAAAUGCAUAGAUAUCACGCAGAACCCCGAUUGCGAAGGCAGCAUACCGGUGCACAACUGACGCUCAGGCACGAAAGCGUGGGUAUCGAACAGGAUUAGAUACCCCCGUA
RNAcentral lists this ribosomal RNA (464 nucleotides) under uncultured bacterium. RNAcentral's name for it is "bacterial SSU rRNA". It matches the Rfam family "Bacterial small subunit ribosomal RNA", at positions 331 to 792 of the family's 1533-position model. The record is from RNAcentral.